RNA transcript from Haemorhous mexicanus (house finch), 4408 nucleotides. It is a transcript of the gene named regulator of G protein signaling 9, with no coding region annotated. The record is from RefSeq and is a predicted model, not a curated record. NCBI's taxonomy places the organism in Eukaryota, Metazoa, Chordata, Aves, Passeriformes, Fringillidae. The transcript has 19 exons.
GUGUCCGCAGCCAGGUGCGCCGGGCCAGGGCCGCUCCGCGCCGCGCUCCGCUCCGCGCCGCCACCGCCACCGCCACCGCCACCGCCACCGCCACCGCCACCGCCAGCAUGACCGUCACACGGCUCGACCAGGGACAGCGCUACCGCCCGCGCAUGGCCUUCCUCAAAAAGAUUGAAGCUCUCAUGAUGGAGAUGCAGAGCCCUGACACAGGAAUCAAGACACAGACACAGACAGUGACAGUCACCAGCAUCCCCCACGCUGUGACAGGUAAUGAUAUAAUGCAGUGGAUCCUUCAGCGCUUGCAGAUCACUGCAGAAGAGGCACUCCACCUGGGAGACCUGUUUGUCAAAUAUGGAUAUAUCUACCCUCUUCAGGAGCCAAAGAACCUCACCCUGAGGGCAGAUGGCAGCCUCUACAGGUUUCAAACUCCUUAUUUCUGGCCAGUGCAGGGCUGGGCUGCUGAUGACACAGACUAUGCAAUUUAUCUAGCAAAGAAGAACAUUAAAAGGAAAGGGAUUUUGGAAGAAUAUGAAAAGGAACAUUACAACAUGCUCAAUCAAAAAAUAAACUACAAGUGGGAUUUUGUCAUUAUGCAGGCCAAGGAGCAGUAUAAGGCAGGGAAGGAGCGGAAGAAGGAGGACAGGUAUGCCCUGGACUGCCAGGAGAGAGCCUACUGGCUUGUGAACAGAACUCCUCCAGGCAUGCUGAACGCCCUCGAGUAUGGAUUAGACAGAGUCACAGAUCCCAGUGAAAAUAAGAAAAAUACGAUGGAAUUCUAUAGGAGAGAGAUCAUGUACUAUCAGCAGGCCAUCUUGAAGACCAGAGUGAAAUCUUCUGUCUCUCUUGGAGGAGUUGUGAAGUACUCUGAGCAGUUCCUCUCCAAUGAUCCCAUCCUAUCUGGAUGUCUCCCCAGCAACCCUUGGAUAUCAGAUGACCCUGACUUUUGGGAUCUCAAUGCAAAGCUGGUGGAGGUGCCCACCAGGAUGCGCGUGGAGCGAUGGGCCUUCAACUUCAGCGAGCUGAUCCGGGACCCCAAGGGCCGCCAGAACUUCCAGAUCUUCCUGAAGAAGGAGUUCAGCGGAGAGAAUCUGGGUUUCUGGGAAGCCUGUGAGGAUCUCAAGUAUGGAGACCAAUCCAAGGUCAAAGAAAAAGCAGAAGAAAUCUACAAGCUCUUCCUGGCUCCAGGAGCAAGGCGCUGGAUUAACAUUGAUGGCAAAACAAUGGGCAUCACAGUCAAAGGCCUGGAGCACCCUCAUCGUUAUGUUCUAGAUGCUGCUCAGACCCACAUUUACAUGCUGAUGAAAAAGGACUCCUAUGGCCGCUAUUUAAAGUCUCCAAUAUACAAGGAAAUGCUGGCCAAGGCUGUUGUGCCACAAGAGGGUGUCAAAAAAAGCACGGGUUUGUUCGGACGCCGCCACCUCCGCUCCAGCCCCAGCCCCAUCAUCCUGAGGCAGCAGGAGGAAGAGGCCAAAGCCAGGGAAGCCGCCAACACCGUGGACAUCACGCAGGUCAUGAGCAAGCUGGAUCGCAGGAACCAGCUCCAGAAGGAAGCUCCUCCCAAGUAGGCUCUGAGCCCCGCAGGGAAAAGACAAGGCGAGGCUGGUGUUGAGCUUCGUCUCCCCCUCCUGAAGGUGUCAGUGCUGCUUUAGGUUUCCCAGGCCGGCUCUGCCUCCGCCAGCUCCCGCACGUUGCCAUGGCUGCUGGAGAGCAGAUGUCCCUUCCCGGGCAGUGCCAGGCUGCUGCUGUGCCAGGCUCGGGGGGCAGCACCCCGCACACCUCGGAGGGGAGAUGCCUUCUGCUGCCCCCACAGCCCCGGGAGGCUGCAGAGCCCGGCUGCCUGUCCCUGCUGCUCCAGGAGUGGGGUGACACAGGGCAGGGCAGAGCUGUGCCCCAGUGCUGCAGGUUCAGACCAGCUUGCCCUGGUCUGAGGGAGAUGAGCCUGCGGGGAGCAGGGUGAGGUGACCCAGCCCAGAAUGUCCCUGCUGGCCUCCAUCCCCUCGGGGGCUCUGCACCCUCCCAGGGGGUGCACCUGGUACCCCCUGAGAGGAGCACACCCCCACUCCAAGAGUCCUGCACCUCCAGCCAGCACCACAGGCAGAAGAGCUGCUUGUGGCAGCAGUAGCAGGAGCAUUUCUGAAGGUUUAGCUGACCUUCUGAAUUUGAAUGACACUCCCACAUCCCCUGGCACGCUGGAGAUGAUCAGCAGGAAGCUCUGCUCUGCUCUCCCUGUGACUCCUGUGCUGUGAGCUGGGUGUGCAGGUGCAGAGAGCUGCCCCUUGCCAGAGCCAAGACAGAUUUUAGCCAGUCCUUCCCACCUCUUGUCUUGUCUUUUUCCCGCUCUUCUAUUUUCUUUGUUAAAAAUCCAACAGGAGGUAGCUGCAGUUGUCUCUGGCUUGUAGCCCAGAGGCAAGGGAGAACAGGGUACAGGUGUUAAGAGCAGAUUUCAACUUUAGGUAGUAUUUUCAUUUUCAUUUGCUCUGUCUCUUUUGCUCUGUAGAAUAAGGCAAGCUGAAAUACCACAUUAGUGCUAAAGAGCUCAGGGAGAUUCCAGGCCUUGCUGGAAAAGCCCAGUGUGCCUGGAGCAGGCCAGUGGUUACCAGAACUGUGAGGAUUCCUGCAAAGCCUAGUAAAGGGAAUUGAAUGACAAAAAAGCUUCCUUGUUUAGUUAAAAUUUUGGGGAAGCAAAGGAACUGGGUGGAAGCACUGAGGUCUGGAAAGCUGCCUCUCUCCAGUUCACAUUGUUCAUCCCUUUUUAAUAGUGGUAGGACUUUACAGAAAAUGGGAGAUCAUAGAAUCCCAGAAUGGUUUGGAUUCAAAGGGAUCUUAAAGCUCAUCUCAUUCCACCCCCUGCCAUGGGCAGGGACCCCUUCCACUAUCCCAGGGUGCUCAGAGCCACAUCCAGCCUGGCCUUGGACACCCCCAGGGAUGGGGCAGCUUCUGGAGAGAGCUGGCAGGGAAUGGGAGCCCUCAGAUAGUGGGGGGCAUGCAGGCCCCUGGAGCCCUGGGGUCCUUGCAGGGCAACUCCCUGUGGACAGGGGACAGUCAUGCUGUCACUGUGUCCCCAGUAGUGACUCUGGCCCUCCCCAUGGCAGGAUCAGGGCUGGGCAUUCUGAUCUGGUGUGGCUGAGCCAGGGAGGUUGUCCUGCCCUUCCUUACCCCAUCAGUGAUAAACCUCCUCAGAGGAAUUCAAAUUCAACAGGCCUUCCCUCUGAUCUGAUGUCUGUGCUGAGUCUGUUCUCACUCCUGCUGGAAGCACAGGCACAUUCUGCACUGCUGGACAGGGGAGCAGGCUCAGGCUGCCUUUUUUCAAAUUUAAACCCCAAGGCUUUGUUACAUCAGGUGCUGAGCACCCUCAGCAUACUUGGACAUCAGAGCGCUGGAAGACUCUCCAGAACCUGGCAGGGUUGGCCCAAAGCCACUGGGCUGUGAUGAGCUCUAGAGUCUCUGCAGAGUUUGUGUAACAUGGAGCACUGAGCAGGUUGGGAUUGCCAGUAUGUAGUAACAUGUGGAAGAUCAAGUCAGGGUAUAAAUAAUAAAUAACAAAUCUGUGUGUUCUUGUCAGUCCCUCUGAUUCUACUUCUAUUUUGUCUGCUGCUUUGCUUGUUAUGUUCUCUGUAUCCAUGCCUUUCUCUGAUUUUUUAUCAUCUCUGCUUGGCAUCGCUGCUCCCCUGCCAUGGGUUGUGCUGCAUGCUCCAGAGUCACUGUGCUGGUGGAACUGGUGUGGAACACCAGUCAGUGGUGUGGAACACCAGUUACUGCUUGUAGAACACCAGUUAGUGCUUGUGGAACACCAGGUACUGUGUGGAACACCAGUUAGUGCUUGUGGAACACCAGGUACUGUGUGUGGAACACCAGUUAGUGCUUGUGGAACACCAGUCAGUGUUUGUAGAACACCAAUUACUGUGUGUGGAACACCAGUUAGUGCUUGUGGAACACCAGUCAGUGUUUGUAGAACACCAGUCAGUGCUUGUGGAACACCAGUUACUGCUUGUGGAACACCAGUUACUGUGUGUAGAACACCAGUUAGUACGUGUGGAACACUGGGUACUCUGUGUGGAACACCAGGUGCUGUGUGUGGAACACUGUUUUUUGCAUGUGGAAUACCAGCCAGUGCUUGUGGAACACCAGUUACUGUGUGUGGAACACCAGUCAGUGCUUGUGGAACAAACAGCCAUCCUUCACACCCAGGCAGGAGCUGUCUUUGCCCUGCCACAGGCUGAUGGAGCUGUCACAGCCCAGCCUCCUCGUCCUCUGCUGCUCAGUCCCCAAAGAGGAAAAUUGCUUGGUACAAGCUGAACUUCACUUUGUGCCAGCCAAGAAAUUGCUUGUUUCCAUGUGUUAAUUUUUUUUGGCCAUGGCUUCCAUGCAUUCAUCUGUCUAAUAAAAAUAAAUGUAGAAAACAGAAAAA